Myxocyprinus asiaticus (Chinese sucker) is the source of this 2850-nucleotide RNA transcript. It is a transcript of the gene named MIT domain-containing protein 1-like, with no coding region annotated. The record is from RefSeq and is a predicted model, not a curated record. Lineage: Eukaryota; Metazoa; Chordata; Actinopteri; Cypriniformes; Catostomidae. The transcript is spliced from 8 exons.
GAAACGGGUGUAUCCAGACUUUAGUUCCUCCAGGAAAUAUGUAAACGUAAUGUAAGGUAUGGGAUUAAAACGAUUUAUUUCGCUCCGAAAGUAGUAUUCGUGCUCGAAUAUCUUUUCCAUGUGAUUAUUUAAAUCAGUAUUAAGUAAGGAAAUUAGUUGUCAUUGAUGUAGUGAGACUUUGGAUCACCAAACCAAAGUUGGGAGGUUUACAAGAAGGCAGUGGUGUACUACUCUUAAUCAUUUUUCUAAUUUUUCCUUCUUCAUUUUUUGCUUGAACGAGUGUACUGAUGUCUGCUAUGACUAAACAAUAGCCUUUCUUGGUUUGAGUUAUACACAUGUAAGAAUCAUCAUUGCCCAGAGGAUUGUACUCUUCUGCACUUAUUUUGUUGCCCCAGUUAUCAAACAAAGGGAUGGCUCAGGAUUUCCUCCCAGGCAUGGAGAGCUCUGCUAUCUCUGUCCUGAAGAGAGCUGUGGAGCUUGAUCAGAGCUCACGCUUUCAAGAGUCUCUCGUGUGCUACCAGGAAGGGAUCCAGCUCCUGUUAGAUGUACUGAAAGCUGUAAAAGAUGACUCAAAGAAGGUCCACUACAGAGAGAAGAUCAAGGGCUACAUGGACCGAGCAGAACAGAUUAAAGAACAUGUGAACAAACUGAAAGAAGAGGGUAAAUACCACGAGCAGAUUAAGAUAGCGGACAAUUCCACUGGUUUCAGCUAUGAAUCCCUCUUUAAACCAUACAUCAGAGACGGGCUGACUGAAGUCUGGGUGGAGGACCCCUACAUACGGCAUGUCCAUCAGUUAUAUAAUUUUCUUCGCUUCUGUGAAAUGCUGCUGAAAGGCCCAUGUCAAGUAAAGACUAUUCACCUCCUUACCUCACAGGAUGAGGACAGCUCCUCUCAGCAAACCAUGGCCCUGGCAGAAAUAAAGCAGUCACUACAGAGACAAAAUGUUUGUUUGGACUUUCAGUGCUCUUCUACUAUUCAUGAUAGGGAGAUCAGGUUUAAUAAUGGUUGGAUUAUUAAAAUCGGCAGAGGGCUUGAUUAUUUCAAAAAACCAAAGGGUCGCUUCUCCAUUGGAUACUGUGAUUAUGAUUUGAGAGAGUGUCAUGAGACUACUGUGGACAUUUUUCAUACAAAACACACCAAGAAGUCAUAGUCUUCAAAGGUCCUUCCACUGCCUGGCAUGUCUAUAGGGAAUAGGGAUGUACUGUAUCCUCACAAGCAGUCCUCACAGUUGAAGUCAUUAAAACUCAUUUUUUAACCACUCCACAGAUUUAAUAUUAGCAAACUAUAGUUUUGGCAAGUCAUUUAGGACAUCUACUUUGUGCAUGACACGAGUAAUUUUUCCAGCAAUUGUUUACAGACAGAUUGUUUCACUUUUAAUUGACUAUAUCACAAUUCCAGUGGAUCAGAAGUUUACAUACAGUAAGUUAACUGUGCCUUUAAGCAGCUUGGAAAAUUCCAGAAAAUGAUGUCAAGUCUUUAGACAAUUAGCCAAUUAGCUUCUGAUAGGAGGUUUACUGAACUGGAGGUGUACCAGUGGAUGUGUUUUAAGGCCUGCCUUCAAACUCUGUGCCUCUUUGCUUGACAUCAUGGGAAAAUCAAAAGAAAUCAGUAUUUCAGGGUUUUGUGAAUUGAAUGUCAUUAAAUAUAGCACAAUAAAUUGUUAAUUGUAAAUAUUUGAUCAUGGAGAUCUUCUGAUAUGUACAUUAAUUUGUAUUUUCUAAAAGUUAAGAUCCGUGUUGAUUUAUGACAGUUUAUACCUGAUGCUUCAAUUUAGAGAGCUUACUUUUAUUGUUGAUUCUUACUUUUAUUGAUGAUUCUCACCUUCAUCGAAGGUUUUGAUUAAAUGUUAUUGAAUACUUGAUGCUUGUAUAAAAAAAUCUUUGUCUAAACGGAUAUCUUGUUGGGAUUGGUGUAUAUAUGUAUAUAAUUUACUCAUACCUUAUUUAAUGUUAUUGAAUGUAUUUUGUAACAAAACAAAUGGCUUUUCUAAUUAUGUGAUGUCAUGACGUGGUCUAUAUAAGAAAAUGGGUGGAUAGAUAUUUUCGAAUUCGCUGAGGAAAGCCUAGUAGCCUAAACGUCUGUGUUUGUUCCCCCAUGUUAAUUAAAAAAGAAGCAACAAAAAGCUUUGAGUGCGGAUCAUUAUUUUAAUGUUUUAAACGCCUGCAAGUACCAUGUUCAUCUGUACAAACAAUAGUACGCAAGUAAACACCAUGGGACCACACAACCAUCAUACCACUCAGGAAGGAGACACAUUCUGUCUCCUAGAGAUGAAUGUAGUUUGGUGUGAAAAGUGCAAAUCAAUCCCAGAACAACAGCAAAGGACCUUGUGAAGAUGCUGGAGGAAACAGGUAGACAAGUAUCUAUAUCCACAGUAAAACGAGUCCUAUAGCGACAUAACCUGAAAGGCUGCUCAGCAAGGAAGACGCCACUGCUCCAAAACCGCCAUAAAAAAGCCAGACUACAGUUUGCAAGUGCACAUGGGGACAAAGAUCUUACUUUCUGGAGAAAUGCCCUCUGGUCUGAUGAAACAAAAAUUGAACUGUUUGGAGGAAAAAGGGUGGGGCUUGCAAGCUGAAGAACACCAUCCCAACCGUGAAGCAUGGGGGUGACAGCAUCAUGUUGUGGGGGUGUUUUGCUGCAGGAGGGUCUGGUGCACUAUACAAAAUAGAUGGCAUCAUGAGGAAAGAAAAUUAUGUGGAUAUAUUGAAGCAACAUCUCAAGACAUCAGCCAGGAAGAUAAAGCUUGGUCGCAACUGGGUCUUUCAAAUGGACGAUGACCCCAUGCAUACCUCCAAAGUUGUGGCAAAAUGGCUUAAGGACAACAAAGUGAAGGUAUUGGAGUGGCCGUC